CGACGUCUGUUCCUCCGCCUGCCCUCAGCUCAGGCAGUGUGGAUUUUAUGGCGUCGCAGAGUGAAAGCGGUCUAUUUCACCCAGCAGGUUUCAGGCAGCAGGGCUGCCGCUGUGGCCUCUUGGUUUUGCGGGACCGCACAAAC
Molecule: small nucleolar RNA, 143 nt
Organism: Myripristis murdjan (pinecone soldierfish)
Lineage: Eukaryota; Metazoa; Chordata; Actinopteri; Holocentriformes; Holocentridae
Product: small nucleolar RNA SNORA79
Source: Ensembl